This 253-nucleotide ribosomal RNA is filed under the name uncultured bacterium. Its description in RNAcentral is "partial 16S ribosomal RNA". It matches the Rfam family "Bacterial small subunit ribosomal RNA", at positions 524 to 776 of the family's 1533-position model. The record is from RNAcentral.
UACGUAGGUGACAAGCGUUGUCCGGAUUUACUGGGCGUAAAGAGCGCGCAGGCGGUCGAUCAAGUCGAGUGUGAAAGCCCCCGGCUCAAUUGGGGAGGGUCAUUCGAUACUGAUCGACUCGAAGGCAGGAGAGGGUAGUGGAAUUCCCGGUGUAGUGGUGAAAUGCGUAGAUAUCGGGAGGAACACCAGUGGCGAAGGCGACUACCUGGCCUGUUCUUGACGCUGAGGCGCGAAAGCUAGGGGAGCAAACGGG